UAUGAAGCCGGAAUUGCUAGUAAUGGCAGGUCAGCAUACUGCCGUGAAUACGUUCCCGGGCCUUGUACACACCGCCCGUCACACCAUGAGAGUUGGAAAUACCCGAAGCCUGGUGAGCUGACCGUAAGGGGCAGCAGUCGAAGGUAGAGCCAAUGAUUGGGGUGAAGUCGUAACAAGGUACC
This 182-nucleotide ribosomal RNA is filed under the name uncultured bacterium. RNAcentral's name for it is "partial 16S ribosomal RNA". It matches the Rfam family "Bacterial small subunit ribosomal RNA", at positions 1319 to 1500 of the family's 1533-position model. The record is from RNAcentral.